GUUCGCAGUAAGCUUUAUUCCUGCAUAAAAACCGCCCAUGAGUGCCAUUGAGAUGGAAAAACAUAAAAUUAUCCACACUGUAUCGCAACCAAUAUAUACGGCUAUAACCAUAAAGAGCCCAGAAGGUGUGGCAGCUAAUGUGCGAAAAAUUUGUGUGAUAAUAUACAUUUAAUUAAGCGCCAUCUCUCCACAUACAUACCUACGAAUGCCAUCAGUUUUCGCAUAACCGUCACGGAGAAUAUUUCAUAGUUGACUAGCAAAUCCGAGACCACACCGGAUAGCACAGACAGCAACCAAUUCAUAAUAUACGGCAUUUGAUUCUGCAAGCCAUUGAUCACAUUUUCAAUUAACGGUUGCUGUUUGGCGUCUUUUAUAAAUUGUGGAACCUCAGCCGCAUGUUCCAGCUGUGUCCAAUCAUAUUGUAUGGUGGCCGAAAUGAGCGCCCACAUAGAUAUUGCUUUUCCCUCACUUUGAUGAAUGGAUUUUCCUCUGGCGUAUUGUAACACAUGUAUGUCUAGUUUGUGGAAGAAGAUCGACUUAUUUUGCUUUUAAAGUCAUGUUUUUUAGUGUACUUACGAAACCAAUGAACCAAAGUAAUGUGCAUACACCAAAGUAAUAGAAAAUCAACGACCAAUCGUAGCGAUGUAAUAGCAAGCCGGCUAUAAAAUUACCCAUUGAAAUGCCAAUUUGACUGCCACUUAGCACCAGUGAGCCCAACGUUGCGCGCUCCUUACCCGGCACCCAUUUGGAGAGCAAUUCGCUUAAUGCUGGAUACGUUGGUCCUUCACUGAAGCCAAUUAGCAAACGUAUCGCUAUAAGUGCCAAUGGACCACCCCAUUUCACCACAGCUGGUGUGAGCAACGUAAGCAAUGCGGUUAUGGCCAAA
Molecule: long non-coding RNA, 886 nt
Organism: Bactrocera neohumeralis
Lineage: Eukaryota; Metazoa; Arthropoda; Insecta; Diptera; Tephritidae
Exons: 3
Source: RefSeq, a predicted model, not a curated record